Molecule: unclassified non-coding RNA, 298 nt
Filed under: Hevea brasiliensis (rubber tree)
Lineage: Eukaryota; Viridiplantae; Streptophyta; Magnoliopsida; Malpighiales; Euphorbiaceae
Source: RNAcentral
GCUGCACCAUACUGAGGAGGGGGAUUAGGAACUCUAUCUACAGCCUUCCCUCUAGUAGAACUGGGAAAAAAAACAACAAGAAGGAAAAAAUGAGGGGAAUCCCUUGACUUGCAGCAGUGUCUGUGGCUGCAAAUGGUAGAACCUCUUGAUCCAGAUUAGAAAUUAAAUCAUUACCCCAAUAUAUUGAGCUCUAGUGUUGCUUUAUAUUGAGAAGGUAUCUCCAUCAAGGCCGCAAGGGAAAACUCUGCUUCUUUUCUAUAUCGGUCCAUGUUCAUUGACAUUAUUUCCGUAAAAUUCA